AGGACAACGGGCGUUGCCGGCGCCGUGUGACUCUGGGCUGUGGGCGCGCCUGUGGCUCUUCGGCCAUGGUUUUCUCAAAUAAUGAUGAAGGCCUUAUUAACAAAAAGUUACCCAAAGAACUUCUUUUGAGAAUAUUUUCCUUCUUGGAUAUAGUAACUUUGUGCCGAUGUGCACAGAUUUCCAAGGCUUGGAAUAUCUUAGCCCUGGAUGGAAGCAACUGGCAAAGAAUAGACCUUUUUAACUUUCAAACAGAUGUAGAGGGUCGAGUGGUGGAAAACAUCUCAAAGCGAUGCGGUGGAUUCCUGAGGAAGCUCAGCUUGCGAGGUUGCAUUGGCGUUGGAGAUUCCUCCUUGAAGACCUUUGCACAGAACUGCAGAAACAUUGAACAUUUAAACCUCAAUGGGUGCACAAAAAUCACUGACAGCACGUGUUACAGCCUUAGCAGAUUCUGUUCCAAGCUGAAACAUCUGGAUCUGACUUCCUGUGUGUCCAUUACAAACAGCUCCUUAAAGGGGAUCAGCGAGGGCUGUCGGCACCUGGAGUACCUGAACCUGUCAUGGUGUGAUCAGAUCACGAAGGAUGGCAUCGAGGCCCUGGUGCGGGGUUGUCGCGGCCUGAGAGCCCUGCUGCUGAGGGGCUGCACGCAGCUAGAAGACGAAGCUCUGAAACACAUUCAGAAUUACUGCCAUGAGCUUGUGAGCCUCAACCUACAGUCCUGCUCACGCGUUACGGAUGAAGGCGUGGUGCAGAUUUGCAGGGGCUGCCACCGGCUGCAGGCCCUCUGCCUGUCUGGCUGCGGCAACCUCACGGAUGCCUCCCUCACAGCCCUAGCCUUGAACUGCCCAAGACUUCAGAUCUUGGAGGCUGCCCGAUGUUCCCAUUUGACUGAUGCAGGCUUUACACUUUUAGCUCGGAAUUGUCAUGACCUGGAGAAGAUGGAUCUCGAAGAAUGCAUCUUGAUAACCGACAGCACACUCAUCCAGCUCUCCAUUCACUGUCCUAAACUGCAAGCCCUGAGCCUGUCCCACUGUGAGCUCAUCACGGAUGAUGGGAUCCUGCACCUGAGCAACAGCCCUUGUGGCCACGAGAGGCUGCGGGUGCUGGAACUGGACAACUGCCUCCUCAUCACUGACGUGGCCCUGGAGCACCUGGAGAACUGUCGUGGCCUGGAGCGCCUUGAGCUGUACGACUGCCAGCAGGUCACCCGCGCGGGCAUCAAGCGGAUGCGGGCCCAGCUCCCUCAUGUCAAAGUCCAUGCCUACUUUGCUCCUGUCACCCCGCCGACAGCAGUGGGAGGAAGUGGACAGAGGCUAUGCAGGUGCUGUGUCAUCCUCUGACAGCAGCUGCCCAGCCCAGGGCUUCAUGAGGUGUCCCUUCCUCCCGAGGACCCGAGUCUUUCUGACGUACUCCACCAACAUCCAAAUCUGUUGAUUCUCCAUUGGGAAAGGCAUUUACAGAAUUAAAAACAGUGUAGAAGACGGCACACGAGAAGCUAAGGAUGUGGACCACGAGGCCUCCUGCUUCUCUACAGAAAGCCCAGCUGUUUUUGGAACACCUGACGAUGCAGCAGCCCUUGUCUGCAAAGCGUCAGGCACAUCUGCAGUGAGCCUGAGUCUCGCAGGUCCUGCUGUACUACUGACUCAAGCCAAACACGGAUCAGGAACAUCAGUGCUUUUACUUUGCUUCCCCAAACAAGGGUUUUUUCAUGUGUGUGAGUACAGAAACCUUUGCUUAGAAUUUGGAACUACAAUUAAGGUAAGACUACAGAGAGGCUCUAAAGCAGGGGUGCCAUACUCUGCCCUACACUUGUUCUUUUAAAAUUAAAUUUUAUCAUAACAACAGCCGAGAAGGGCCACUGCCUCUCACCGCUGCCAGGACAACCCGGUGGCCCCCACCAACUCAGAAGGACAGUGGCAGGAAGCCGAGUGUCCUGGCCCCCCCAUCCCUGCCCGCCCAUACCCACCGUAGGGCGUGGCGGCGCUGCCGUCGCCCCCGCCACCCGCUGCCUGCUGCUGCCCCUGCGGCGCCGGCUGCUCGCGGCAGACGUAGAGGGUCAGGCGGGGCCGCACCGACCUGCAACCAGAAGACAGCGCUUGUGAGCCGGCAGGAGGGCCGCACGCGCAAGCGACAGCUACAAGAAUCUAGGGUCUAUUUCCUUAGGAGAACUUUACAACGUUACUUCAUUAUACGAAAUAAUUUACUAGGAAGAAUAUAAAAACACACACCUCACACCAACUAUCACAGGUUAUCACAGGUGGUCUAAUCUGAUGAUCCAGACUCUAAACCAUUGAGAUGGUCGGUCAGAUGCUGGUAAAUUUAAGUUUCAAGAUUAUGUCAGCAAUGUAACAUCAGUAAAAUUCAGUUUAAUGGAAUUCUCACACCACAAGUCUAGAAAUACCAACGAUAGUAAAUGGAUCUUAAAAGCCAGCACAGUUUACAGUUCUAUCAUUUUAAUUCACAAUUAGAAGUUUACAUUUUUAAUAACUGUUUAGUAGUGUCACAUGACCUUGAAAACCAUAGAUUCUGUAGAGCUCACCUAAAUGAGAAGUUUGUUUUCUUGGCAACAAACCCAGUCGUCUUCCAGACCACAGUCCUGCCCAUGUGCAUUUCUAGUCUUACAGUCUACCUCUGCCCUCAGUGCCUGCAUCAUAUCUGGGCCUGCCUGAAGGUGUACACAAAACAGUCUCCUCGUGAGCACGGCGGGCCAGCGGCCACAGCGCAAGGGCACACGCCGACGUGGCGUGGACACAUCCUGCCCGCAGUCCCCACGCGAACAAGGGCACAUUCUUAUUUCAAGCAGAACAGUUCCUUUUAAACACGGUAUUUUACCUUGACUUCAGUGAAUUAUAGAGCCGAAUUCCAUCGGCUGCACCACAAAUUUGUACUAGAUCUUCCUUUGUCAGUUUUAACAAGUCGGCACCUGGAGAAGAGCAAAAAGAAUCUUCUCAAGGAAAUGGGAGAAGAACCAAGCAGUACGGGCUACUCUGCAGCAUCUGUCUUCACAGUUUAACGUCCUUCGAAGCCAUCGCCAGGUCUCCUGUGUAUACACAUACACAUGAACAACACACACACAUACCUGUCCCUCACAGCCAAAGAGAAUGCUGGCUCUCCAUGUUCUCUAUCAAGAAGGAACUCAGAAGCCCAGAGGCUGGAAAAUCAGAGCAAUGAGCCGACAGCAAAGGGCCGACAGGAAUGUCUCUUCCCAAUACAGGAUUUCAGUGCCUGCCUUACUCUGGCUGGGUGGAGCUCGUGAAGAUGAACAUGAUUCUGACCCCAGAUAGUUCACCUUGAGAUGACCCAGACCAAUCUUUAAUUUACAAAAGGAAGAAAUGGAAGUCAGAGUUUGGGGGACCUGCCCAAAGGCACACAAGUUGGCAGCAGAGCUAGGACUAGGUCUCUUAUUUAUUUAUUUUUGCGAUACACGGGCCUCUCACUGUUGUGGCCUCUCCCGUUGCGGAGCACAGGCUCCAGACGCGCAGGCUCAGUGGCCAUGGCUCACCAGCCCAGCCGCUCCGCGGCAUGUGGGAAUCUUCCCGGACCGGGGCACAAAUCCGCAUCCCCUGCAUCGACAGGCGGACUCUCAACCACUGUGCCACCAGGGAAGCCCCAGGACUAGGUCUCUUUAUACUGUAACAUGCUACAUACAGUGCAACAUUCUAUAACAAACAACUCCAUCACAGCAGCCAGUUUUAAUACAAAAGCAUGACAGAGAAUUGCAUAUUAUACUUAAGGUUUCCCCCAGAAGUAUUUGGUGUGUAAGUGACAUGGUAUCUAGCAUUUGCUUUAAAGUAGGACAGAAAGGGAAGGUGGGGGGAGUGGGAGAGAAAGACACUGAUCUAGGCUGGUCGUCUCUGGAGCUGGGUGUGGUGACACGAGCUCAUCAGACUCUUUCUUCUAUGUUUUACGUUUGAGUGUGUCUACAGUCUUUUGUUUUACCUUUUAUUGACGCUCAAGAUGUAGUUUAUUGGGAGAAUUAAGAUGCCCUCUGGGAUUAAAGCAUGACCUCCAUAUGAUAAAUAUCCACUUACAUAUGUAACGAGAUUAAUGGAGUUAUCUACUUUUGAGGGCUUGAAUGUUAAGAGCCUAAUCAUCUUCUAGUUUGUAAAAGGACAAAGACCAGAGGAGCACAUCUCCCAUGAGGCACGAGCACUGUUGGAGCUGUUUAUGGAGUCAGGUAAGCAGAGACAGACGCUGUCAUCUCUACCAGGGGACCUUCCAUACACACCUCUGCCAACAGGGCUCCCAGGAGCGACCAGAGACGUGUGUGCCCAUCCUUCACCCACACACAGAGCUGGACAGACACUGCACAGCCCUCUCCAAAACAUGACUGCCUAACAGGCUAAGAGAAAGAAGCCUCCCUCUUCUCGCCUUUCUACUGUUGGGAAGCUCACAGGGGAAGGAAAAGGCAGGAGGCCAAGCCACCGUGAUCACCAGUCAGAACUAUAACACGCAUCGUCUGACAGAACAGGAACCUGGGCCCUCGUGGCAGAGCCUUCCGACUGUGCAGUGCUCUCCCUGUCUCCCCUGUGAGCAUCCAAGAUGCGCCCCACACCCCGCAACACGCUGAAAUUUUUAAAUGAGUUUUUCACAGAUAAAAGGCUUACUUAAUCAUAAAAAUGUGCAUCCCAGCUAGCCAACGACUUUCACCCAGCACUUUAAUUUUAAAGAGACAAAGCGCUACCUGGGGAAUGACUAACCAUGACACAAGCACAGCAAUAAAGGGCUGAUGUAAUAGAAAACCACGUUCUUUGUGAAACCAGGCUUUCCUCUAGGCCAGCUGUGUGCACACAUGUUCUCUCCUCUUAAAAGGCUCGAGCUGCAUUUGGAUGGUCCCCCAACACCAUGGGCUAAGGAGAGCCAGCUGCCACUUCACCAUGGCCCAGGAGGAGUUUGGCCAGGACAUGUUACUAAGUGUUCUGUCAGGAAAGGGUCCCAGGGCCAAAUAUGUUUAGGAAAUGCUGCCCCUGCCCCAGCUGGCGUUAUCUUAUUACUGUCCCUCCAAACAGGCUUCCUAUAGCACCAGCUGAAGCAGCACCGCCCGGUCCUUUCUGAAAUUACAUCUAAAUACUCCCUUAGCUUACUAGGCAAGAAAAAAACUUAGGUCUAUAAAAACCAUAUAUGAGUACAUUCAUACCCUCUAAUGCUACAUAGCAAUAAAGAGGAACAAACUAUUGAUACAACAUCUUGGAUGGAAGUAAGGGCCUUAUGCUGAGAGAAAAAAAGGUAACAUACUGUAUGAUUCCAUUUAUGUAACAUUUUCGAAAUGACAAAAUCAUGGAGACAGAAAAUACAUUAGUGGUUGCUAGGUAUUAGGGAUCAUGGGGGAGGGGUAAUUAGGGAGAUCCCUGUGGUGAUGGCAAGAUUCUGCAUCCUAACUUCGGUGGUGGUGGGCAUACAAUCUAUACAUGUGAUAAAAUGACACAGAACUGUAUACACACAUAGCACCAAUGUCAAUUUACUGGUUUUGAUACUGUACUGUAAGUAUGUGAGAAACUGAGUGAAGGGUACACUGGAACAUAUCUGUGUUAUUUUUGCAACUUACUGCAAAGCAAAAAUUAUUUCAAAUAAAAAGUUAAUAAAAUCAAAAAAAUUGCAUAUAACUAUAUACACGUAUACAAAAAUGAGGGCAUGUAAACCUGGUGAAACAGCAUCGAGUUCCUGUUCUGAUACUGCACCAUAGGUCUGCAAGACACUACCACUCGGGACACUGGGCAGCUCCCUGUACAGGUACACAGGAGCUCCCUGUACAGGUUUGGGCAACUUCUUACGAAUCUACAUACAGUUACUUCCCCAAAAUUUAAUUACAGCUAAUAAAAGUACAAAAACAAACAACGUGUGGGUGUGCACACACAAACACAAACAUACCUAAA
Molecule: non-coding RNA, 5870 nt
Organism: Delphinapterus leucas (beluga whale)
Lineage: Eukaryota; Metazoa; Chordata; Mammalia; Artiodactyla; Monodontidae
Source: RefSeq, a predicted model, not a curated record